UCUCUCCCUCCGUCCCUCCCUCUCUCUCUCUCUCUCUCUCUCUCUCUCUCUCUCUCUCUCUCGUUCUGUUUGGUCUCUUGGUCCUGCCUGUCUCCAUUCUCUCCUCAGCACUCUCUGGACUAGCAGUAAGACAGGUUAGCUACUUUAACACACUUAAACCCUCUUCUACAGUCUCGUGUGUGUGUGCGUAUCUGUGUGUUUGAUAGUGAAAGAAGUAGCGAGAGAGAGGAAACGUGUGUGUGUGUGUGUGUGUGUGUGUGUGUGUGUGUGUGUGUGUGUUUAAUCAUAUCCGGGUGCUGGUGGGUUCAGAGCCUCUGCUGUCCUGACACAGACCACAGUCAGGAGCGAGAGG
Clupea harengus (Atlantic herring) is the source of this 352-nucleotide long non-coding RNA. The record is from Ensembl. NCBI's taxonomy places the organism in Eukaryota, Metazoa, Chordata, Actinopteri, Clupeiformes, Clupeidae.